GAUUGUGGCUCAGUGGUAGAGCGCUUGCCCCACACAUAUGAGGCUCUGGAUUCGAUCCUCAGCACCACAUCA
This 72-nucleotide transfer RNA is filed under the name Marmota monax (woodchuck). RNAcentral describes it as "tRNA.Val". The record is from RNAcentral. Lineage: Eukaryota; Metazoa; Chordata; Mammalia; Rodentia; Sciuridae.